Molecule: ribosomal RNA, 253 nt
Filed under: uncultured bacterium
Lineage: Bacteria
Description: partial 16S ribosomal RNA
Rfam family: Bacterial small subunit ribosomal RNA
Source: RNAcentral
UACAGAGGUCCCGAGCGUUGUUCGGAUUCAUUGGGCGUAAAGGGUGCGUAGGCGGUUUUCUAAGUUUGAUGUGAAAUCCCGGGGCUUAACCCUGGAAUUGCAUUGAAUACUGGGAGACUAGAGUACUGGAGAGGAAACUGGAAUUUACGGUGUAGCAGUGAAAUGCGUAGAGAUCGUAAGGAAGACCAGUGGCGAAGGCGAGUUUCUGGACAGUUACUGACGCUGAGGCACGAAGGCCAGGGGAGCAAACGGG